Molecule: ribosomal RNA, 621 nt
Filed under: Triticum aestivum (bread wheat)
Lineage: Eukaryota; Viridiplantae; Streptophyta; Magnoliopsida; Poales; Poaceae
Description: partial small subunit ribosomal RNA
Source: RNAcentral
AUGGCCAUGAGUAUGGCAACCGGCGCCAUGGGCUCCCUGCUGCCCAAGCUGGUCAAGCUCCUCAAGGAGGAGUACAAGCUCAAGGAGAGCGUCAAGGAAGGCGUCCGAUCUCUUGAGGAAGAGAUGAAGAGCAUGCAAGCUGCGCUCCGCAAGGUGGGCGAGGUGCCGCGGGACCAGCUCAACGAGCACGUCAAGAUCUGGGCAGCCGAGGUGAGGGAACUCUCCUUCAAGAUGGAGGACAUCGUCGACAAGUUCUUUGUGCGUGUCGAUGACGGCUCUGAGCCUGCUGCCAGUCCGAAGAAGCUCAAACGGCUCACCAAAAAGAUGGUCGGCCUGUUCACCAAGGGGAAGGCCCGCCAUGAGAUCUCCGAUGCAAUCAAGAGCAUCAAUAAGAAAGUACAAGAGGUUGCUGAUAGGCGUGCAAGGUACAAUGUUGACAAUAUCAUUGCUAGCAUCCCAACCGUGACUCCCAUCGAUCCUCGCCUUGGGGAUCUAUACAAGGAAGUGAAAGAUCUUGUUGGCAUUACCGGAACAAGGGAUCAAGAGAUAAUGAAGUUGCUCUCCGAGGGGGACGACAUGUCCAAGAAAAAGUUGAAGAUCGUCUCUGUUGUCGGAUUUGGA